UAGAUGGAAGGAUGCUUGGAGGAGAAGGAAACAGGCGGGAUCCUGCCAUCAUCUGUGACUUUCGAAUUCCCAGUGCCUGACAAUGUUAGAAAUCUCAUCCAGCCUACAUCCUGUUCCCUGGAAUAGCAGGAAUGGACCUGCAGCUGCUGAAGUCUGCAUUAUCCAAUGAUGCUUUUGGGGAAGAUGCUGUCCACUUCCAGGUCAGAAAAUUCCCUAAUGUUUGCCAGUCUGCCUUCAGUCCAAGUGCCAAACAUCUACAUAUUCUGUGUCGGACAGCCAUGCUCAUCAUGUGACCCAGGGCCAUGCCCUCUCUGUGGCUGACCCUUAGUAGUGAAAGAUGGUGGAGCUGACCCAUUGGGGACCUCUUCUAUUGUUAACAUGCUAUUUUAGCCAUUCCUUCCUUCUUUGAUUUCAUAUGUGUUUCAUAUGUGUUUCCUGUGGUGUGCUGGUCUCACAGACAUGGAAUCACUGAAUUCAUUUGUGAAUGAGACAGUAGCUUCAGCUCCCAUAGCUCGAAGGAAAUCUGAACAACUGGAAAGGAAAUCCUGGGACCUGGAGAAGGAUGAAGAAGGAUCCAAGAGGAGAGUUUACAACAAAUGGGUUUCAUAUCUCAGAGACUGACAGCCUUUCCAAGGAGUCUUGGCAGAUUGCACCCGAAGAGCUGAAUGGCAUUCAAGUGUGUCUCAGUGACAGCCUGUAAGAUUCACCAUGUGGGAUUGGCUCUGCUCUCCCUCCUUUCUCCAGCUUCCUAAAUCACGGACAUGUAUCUCUGCCUACUUAGGGUGGGAGACGGCAGCAAAAAG
RNAcentral lists this long non-coding RNA (803 nucleotides) under Cricetulus griseus (Chinese hamster). Its description in RNAcentral is "lncRNA (ENSCGRG00015041922.1)". Lineage: Eukaryota; Metazoa; Chordata; Mammalia; Rodentia; Cricetidae. The record is from RNAcentral.